Molecule: ribosomal RNA, 429 nt
Filed under: uncultured archaeon
Lineage: Archaea
Description: bacterial SSU rRNA
Rfam family: Archaeal small subunit ribosomal RNA
Source: RNAcentral
UACCUGCAGCUCGAGUGGUAACCGCUAUUAUUGGGCCUAAAGCGUCCGUAGCCGGUUUGGUAAAUAUCUGGGUAAAUCGUGAGGCUUAACUUCACGAAUUUCGGAUAGACUACCAGACUUGGGAUCGGGGGAGGUCAGAGGUACUCCAGGGGUAGCGGUGAAAUGUUGUAAUCCUUGGAGGACCACCGGUAGCGAAGGCGUCUGACUAGAACGAGUCCGACGGUGAGGGACGAAGCCCUGGGGCGCAAACCGGAUUAGAUACCCGGGUAGUCCAGGGUGUAAACGAUGUGGGCUUUGUAUUGGAGGUCCCACGUGGGCGUCCAGUGCAGAAGAGAAGUUGUUAAGCCCACCGCCUGGGAAGUACGGUCGCAAGGCUGAAACUUAAAGGAAUUGGCGGGGGAGCACAGCAACGGGAGGAGCGUGCGGUUU